CACGGGUGAGUAACACGUAUCCAACCUGCCGUCUACUCUUGGACAGCCUUCUGAAAGGAAGAUUAACACAAGAUGGCAUCAUGAGUUCACAUGUUCACAUGAUUAAAGGUAUUCCGGUAGACGAUGGGGAUGCGUUCCAUUAGAUAGUAGGCGGGGUAACGGCCCACCUAGUCUUCGAUGGAUAGGGGUUCUGAGAGGAAGGUCCCCCACAUUGGAACUGAGACACGGUCCAA
Molecule: ribosomal RNA, 233 nt
Filed under: uncultured bacterium
Lineage: Bacteria
Description: partial 16S ribosomal RNA
Rfam family: Bacterial small subunit ribosomal RNA
Source: RNAcentral